AGAUCCUCAGAGCUUUAUAGCCUUUCAGUUGAGAAAUAUGAAACACUGAAAAUCAAAAACAAAUGCUGGAAAUCUUCUUAACUGAACUUCAGAGACAAGUGGCCCGGGGCUAUCCAGUAACCUAAAAGUAUCAUUAGCAUCCCAUGCUCUCUCUGUCUUCCUCUUUUGAUAUUUCUAGCAUGACUCACCCAUGCUCACGUUUUUAUCAUGUCUCAAAGUGGCUGCUGCAGUUCCAGUGACAGAAUUGAUGUGUCAGACAGGAAGAAAAAGGAAAGUAGGAAAGACAAAAUUU
Molecule: long non-coding RNA, 292 nt
Filed under: Homo sapiens (human)
Lineage: Eukaryota; Metazoa; Chordata; Mammalia; Primates; Hominidae
Description: non-protein coding LINC00448:5
Source: RNAcentral